Molecule: long non-coding RNA, 4180 nt
Filed under: Sus scrofa (pig)
Lineage: Eukaryota; Metazoa; Chordata; Mammalia; Artiodactyla; Suidae
Description: lncRNA (ENSSSCG00040033921.1)
Source: RNAcentral
UGGUUUGCAGUCGGCAUCUAUUCAUGUUGACCAGCAAAGUCUGUAUCGUCUUUUUCCUUAUAUCCAAACAAUUUGUGGAGCUCCAACCCAAUAGUAUCUGUUGCUGCCAGGAGCAAAGAAGGAAAGAAAACAGCGUGCUGUUUAGGCCCCAGGGAGCAGAUUGAAGGGUAAAUUGCCCUUCGUGCCCACAUCUUGUUGAAUUAAAAUGAGGUUGUCGACAAGGCCAUAUCCCAGACAAGAUGAUUUUGUCCGCACUAAGUGGUCCUGUGUGUGCGUGUAGUCAACCCUCAGAGUUUGAGGACAGAUGCCUCCACUCUGAUGAGCAGAUCCUCUUACCUGCUGGCAGCCUCAGAGCAUUCAUCUGUGCGGUGUCCUUUCAGCUUCAACAAUGUGUGUUGGGGAAGGUCUAGGAUCAUUCUGUUACUGAUUGAAAGAGCUUAAGUGUGGAGUUCCUGAAACACUCUUGGUUGUAGUAUCAGAAAGGCAGCCAUUGGGUGUCCUGGGUGAAGAGUACAGAAACAUGCUCAUUUCCCACAAACACUACUUACUGGGUGAUCAGCAGGUCUGGCCUCUGACUCAGUUCCCUCCUCCCUGAAAUAAGGAUGGCAGCAGGGCCCACCUUAUGAGGAGGGCGGAGCGUCCCGUGACGUCCAUGCAGGAGCUAGCUCAGGGCCUAUUUUCCUUAAUUAGACCAGCGGAAUUAGACCACGUAAUGUGUUUCCUGUCUCCGGUCUGCCUUUCAGGCCUCUGUGGUUGGUCCACAGUACAAAAGACCACUUAUAAAUAUCUCUCUGUCUUAUAAGAAGGAUCAAAGCUGUUCUAUAUGAGUUCGUAGUUUCUGUCUGGCUGAGUCUACUACAACAUUAAAAAAAUAAUAAUCUCAUUUAUCUCUUCUUGCAUUGUUUUUCCUUUAAGGCUUUCUCAGGCUGAGGACUGCUAGAAACGGGGUCAGAUAAAAGCUAAUCAUGAUAAGGAUUUGGAAAUCAGAUGAGGGGCAAGGAAGCCUCCCCUUUACAGAGUCCUGACCCUCUCCCCCCUUGGUUCUCAGCAGUGUGUUCUUCAGUUCAACACUAGGGUACGAGAGAAAUGAGUGGAACCAGCUCUGUGAGCAAGGUCACCCAACAGCAUCAUGAGAUAAUGACAUCACUGACAGCUCUUUCCCAGGAAAAACCCAGGGCUCAAAUAACCAAGGGAAAGGACAGGUCAUCUUCAUGGCAGGUUGACAGAGCUGGUUGCAGGCUGCCAUCAAAUAUCAGGCCUGGGAGUGUUGCUAAAAAUGACCCAGGGGCUACACCUGGCUCUGCUCAAUUUGCCCUGAGCCUCGCUGCCCUCACAUGCUCAGGACAACAGAAUAUCACCAACAGGUUUGUUUGGUUGUUGUUGUUGUUUUUUUUUUUUUCCGUUGUUCCAUUUCCUAGAAGAAAGGUUACCAACUGCCAGAAUCAAAAUAGAAUGUGGAUUGUGUCACAGGAAUCCUGUUUGAUCCAGGCACACUCAUAUUGUGCUAUGGCCUUGAGGGGAGAGAGCAGAUAAGCAGAAAUGCAGGGUUAUUAUCACAUUGUGGGAAGUGACAUCACAGAAGGCCCCUAGUCUGCCUCUCUCUCCAGACUAGUUAUUUUCUGUCAUGCUGCACACCAAGUGAAUCAUGUUUUCAGUGCCUCAGAGGGACACAGUUACUUAGGUGAGCCUGAUGCAGAAUCCUUCACAUAAAAAAAAGUCCUUUUGUUAAAGUGAGUGGUGGUCCCCAACUUUAUCCAUAUCCCAAGUUCAUGGUUUUACACAUUUUCUGUUCUUUUUUAAUCUUGGCUUAAAUUCUUUACUAUUUGUAGCGAUAUGAUAGAAUUUUCCAAGUGAUAGUGAAUUAUUCAUGGUCACUUUCCUGAACAGCAAACAAUUAAAUUGAAGAAUUCAGACCUUUGUAGAUUACCUUUCAUUAUAUGAUGAAUAUCAUCUUUUUUAUUUAUAAAAAGCAUAAUAUAAAAUGUACCAUCUUAACCGCUUUUAAGUGUUCAGUUCAGUGAUGCUAAGUGCAUUCACAUUAUGCAACAUACAUUGUGUUUUCUUGAAGCAGCUCUCUCCAGGAUGUCUUUAUCAGCAGUUAGAGACAUCCCCUUCCUGCCAAGUUUUUCUCCCAUGAUAUAAUACUUUAUUACUAUCCUUAAACUUACUUCUCAGAGAUUUCAAAGCUUUGGAAAGUAAAUCCAAACAAAAUCCAUGGGCAAUCCUUAAAAUGUAGAUGCACUAAGAGAAGGCUGUGAAGCUCAUUCAUCCUUUAUGUCACAACCCAAACUCAUUUGGGUAGAGAGCCCCUGGACCUGCAAUGGAGAGCUGGCCUUGGGACUGUCAGGUGAGGAUAAAGGUUAAGGCAUCCUCGCCUGAAGCCUCCGUUGGCUUCCCAACUCACUAGAGUGACUGGCAUAUGCCUCACCCAGCUCAUCCCCUCCCGGUCCCAUUCCUGCCCACUUCUCUGACCCCACUUCCUGCUGGCCUUCACACUGACCCUUAAAAAUGUUAAGCUCUCGGAUUCAUUUCCGCUGCACCACGACGGGAACUCCAAGAAUCAGUAUUUUUAAAACAAACAAAAAAUUCUCCAGGAAUUCCUAUAUAGCCACAUUUGAGAACAAGCGUCCUGGAUCAGCAGUUCUCACAAAUGUGGUUCCAGCUCAGAAAUAAUAGCAUCCCUGGGAACCUGUUAGAAAUGGAUGUUCUCAGUCCCCACCUAAAUUUCCUGAGUCAGAAGCUUUAAGAGCAGAGCCCAAGAGUGUGUAUUGUAACAAACUCCAGAUUCUGAAAUGCCUAAGCUUGACAACCAUCAUCCUACAUCCUUGGUGCCCAAGGUGUGGCUCGUGGCUCAGCAGCAUCAGCAUUACUUGGAAGCUUGUUAGAAAAGCAAAAUCUCUGACACCAGCUGGUAAAUCCAGUCAACAGGAUCAGAAUCCACACUUUAACAGUAUCACCGUGCCUCCUGCCAGUCAUGUCUGAGAAGCUCUCUGGCUCCCUCCCCUGAGAGCCUAAAAACAGCUACACGCUGAGCCCACCCAGCACCCAGAGCUUGGGCUCUAAAUGUCUUAACAUCAAAAGUAGCCAGGUUUGUUGGAGCAAAGGCUGAUUCCAGGACUGAUGCAAGCAAAGUGCAAGGUGAGCCUCAGACUUUUUGUGCCAGAAAGCAAGGAAGUGGGCUUGAAGAAAGAUGGGGACACAUCAAAAAGAUGGGGGCUAAGCUAAAGGAUUUCUCACUGGCCAUGUUGGAGGAACCUUGCAGUCAUGGAUUAUAACCCGCUGAAUGAAAUAAAAGCAAUGAGUUUGUAGUGCUGUAACAAAAUAAGUUUUGUAUAAAUAAAUGAGAGAGAAGGGAAAACUCUUCUUUGCAGCAGGAUGCCAGCUAAUAAACAUAGAAGGAAAGAUGGAGUAAGAAAAUCACCCAUGAAGGCUAAAACCCAUGGGUGAAACUUUGAGGAACAGAACAACUUACACUCUAAAAGUACCUCCCCACAAAUGAUUUAUUCAUUACAAAGGGGCAGUAGUACCUUGAUAGUGGAGAAAGUGGCAGAGAUCACCUUCACCCAGCAGCCAGAGUUGGCAUCACCCACCCUGGGACAGCCCAGUACCCCCUGCCUCCUGCUGUGACAUGCUGAGGAGGGCACAGUAUCCCUCCCAGGGCAUUCCUGCCACAGAAGCCCCCCUGAACUUGCUCCUCAGGAAGCAUCAGGAAUCCAAAUAGAGGAACAGUUCAAGGAGUAUCCGGCCUGCAUGCUCAGAAAAUGUCAAGGUCAAGAAAGACAAAGAAUGGCUAAGGAAAUGUUCUGGACUAAAGGAGACUAAAGAGAUGUAAGGACUAAUGCAGUGGGAGAUCCUGGACCUGGAAAUGUGUAUCACUUUAAAAGGUUAUUCCGGGAACUAUUGACAGAAUUUAAAUACAGACGCUGGUUUAGGAAAUAUUUUACAAAAUGCACACUGAAAUAUAGGGCGAUGCAGCAGUAUAUUUGCAUCAUGAAUUCUCAAAUGGUUCCAAAAACAUGUGUGUGGGAAGGUAUAGGGCUAUGUGUGUAACACGUAUGUAUGUUCCAUGUUAAUAGAGACAAGAAGGCAAAACUUUAACAAUUGGUGAAUCUAGAAGAUGAGAGUUCCUUGACUAUCUUGGAACUUUUCUAUAAGCUUAAAAUUUAUCAAAAUAGAAGCC